This 397-nucleotide ribosomal RNA is filed under the name uncultured bacterium. RNAcentral describes it as "partial 16S ribosomal RNA". It matches the Rfam family "Bacterial small subunit ribosomal RNA", at positions 523 to 918 of the family's 1533-position model. The record is from RNAcentral.
AUCCGUAGGGGGCGAGCGUUGUCCGGAAUGAUUGGGCGUAAAGGGCGCGUAGGCGGCCCGGUAAGUCUGGAGUGAAAGUCCUGUUUUUAAGAUGGGAAUUGCUUUGGAUACUGUCGGGCUUGAGUGCAGGAGAGGUAAGUGGAAUUCCCAGUGUAGCGGUGAAAUGCGUAGAGAUUGGGAGGAACACCAGUGGCGAAGGCGACUUACUGGACUGUAACUGACGCUGAGGCGCGAAAGUGUGGGGAGCAAACAGGAUUAGAUACCCUGGUAGUCCACACUGUAAACGAUGAAUGCUAGGUGUAGGGGGUAUCGACCCCUUCUGUGCCGCAGUCAACACAAUAAGCAUUCCGCCUGGGGAGUACGGCCGCAAGGUUGAAACUCAAAGGAAUUGGCGGGG